GGGAAUAUAGCUCAGCGGUAGAGCAACUGACUCUUAAUCAGCAGGUCGUAGGUUCAAUCCCUACUGUUCCCC
Molecule: transfer RNA, 72 nt
Organism: Cryptococcus amylolentus CBS 6039
Lineage: Eukaryota; Fungi; Basidiomycota; Tremellomycetes; Tremellales; Cryptococcaceae
Rfam family: tRNA
About the family: Transfer RNA (tRNA) molecules are approximately 80 nucleotides in length. Their secondary structure includes four short double-helical elements and three loops (D, anti-codon, and T loops). Further hydrogen bonds mediate the characteristic L-shaped molecular structure. tRNAs have two regions of fundamental functional importance: the anti-codon, which is responsible for specific mRNA codon recognition, and the 3' end, to which the tRNAs corresponding amino acid is attached (by aminoacyl-tRNA synthetases). tRNAs cope with the degeneracy of the genetic code in two manners: having more than one tRNA (with a specific anti-codon) for a particular amino acid; and 'wobble' base-pairing, i.e. permitting non-standard base-pairing at the 3rd anti-codon position.
Source: Rfam